UUUUACGAGGUGCUGCAUGGUUGUCGUCAGCUCGUGCCGUGAGGUGUCGGGUUAAGUCCCAUAACGAGCGCAACCCCUACCUUUAGUUGCCAUCAGGUUAAGCUGGGGACUCUAAAGGAACUGCCUACGCAAGUAGUGAGGAAGGCGGGGAUGACGUCAAAUCAGCAGGCCCUUACGUCCAGGGCUACACACGUGCUACAAUGGCCGAUACAGAGGGCAGCUACCUGGUGACAGGAUGCAAAUCUCCAAAGUCGGUCUCAGUUCGGAUCGGAGUCUGCAACCCGACUCCGUGAAGUUGGAUUCGCUAGUAAUCGCGCAUCAGCCAUGGCGCGGUGAAUACGUUCCCGGGCCUU
This 353-nucleotide ribosomal RNA is filed under the name uncultured Sphingobacteriales bacterium. Its description in RNAcentral is "bacterial SSU rRNA". It matches the Rfam family "Bacterial small subunit ribosomal RNA", at positions 1029 to 1382 of the family's 1533-position model. The record is from RNAcentral. Lineage: Bacteria; Pseudomonadati; Bacteroidota; Sphingobacteriia; Sphingobacteriales.